UCUGCCAUUUCAAACCCCCCCCCAAAUGCUCAUACCAAAUAAACUUGUGUACAAAAUCGAAUAGGAUCUCUCAUCCACCAAACACAUCCUUCUGAUUACUUUCCCAAAAUCCCCUUUAUCACUGUUAUCGUUACCAUCAUAGAGAGAAAACUUCAAUCUUGAUAUCAAUGAUGAAACCCUAGAUUCUUUUGAUGUUUUCCCAACUUGGUCCUUCUGGUGGAAGAAGUUGUGGCUAUUCACGGACGAGAACUCCAUUUCUUGAUCCUGGAAACCUAGAAAGGGAUCUUGAGGCUAGAGCCACUAUAGGAUAUUCAUUGUUAUGGUUAUUGAUGUGGGUAAUGGUUAUGGGGUUCUUGAUCCAGAUAUUGUCAGCGAGGGUUGGGGUGGCCAUGGGGCAUCAUCUUGCUCAGAUCUGUAAUGAAAGAGUAUCACAUGGGUCGUUUUUGUCAUGGGUUUUUGCCCAGAUUGAGGCUAAUAUCUAGGAGCUAAUUCUUAGCCGUGGGUUUUUGCCGUUUUGGGCUGGAGUUGUAAUUUCUGCAUUUAAUUGGCUAUCAAUGAUCAUGGAUCAUAUAUAAUGGGGUUUCAGUGAGCAACAGAGAUGGGAUGCAAUCAGGAGAAUCUAAGUUUUGCUAUGAUGAAGAAGAGACACAGGUAUUUUGUGAUUUUGUUGUGGAUUAGAUAAGGCCUAGCACACUACAGAGAACAAUUUUAAUUGUAAGUCCAAUUGUUGAAUUCCUAAAUGUUGGUGUGAAUCCCAUACAAUGUUAAUGAUUUCUUUCACCUCUUAGCUUUUGAAUUUGGCAAGAUUUGGUGGUUAACCAGUGACUUGAAAGAGGAGGGUUGUUGGAGGCUACACAAGCAUGGACUUCGUGGAAAGGUACUUCAAAACUUGCUCACUUUGUGGUCUAAUGUGUUGCACCACUCUAAAUACAAGACCUUUGAUGGUCCACAAGAAUAUUCAAGCAACCCAAAUUUUAGCAUUAUUAUAAUUUCUGGUUUUAUGUUUGAUAUUUUUUUUAUCAA
Long non-coding RNA from Vitis riparia (riverbank grape), 1023 nucleotides. RefSeq lists it as uncharacterized. The record is from RefSeq and is a predicted model, not a curated record. The transcript has 3 exons. Lineage: Eukaryota; Viridiplantae; Streptophyta; Magnoliopsida; Vitales; Vitaceae.